This 269-nucleotide ribosomal RNA is filed under the name uncultured prokaryote. RNAcentral describes it as "partial 16S ribosomal RNA". It matches the Rfam family "Bacterial small subunit ribosomal RNA", at positions 524 to 792 of the family's 1533-position model. The record is from RNAcentral.
UACGUAGGUGGCGAGCGUUAUCCGGAUUUACUGGGCGUAAAGCGCGUGCAGGCGGUUCUGUAAGUCGGACGUGAAAGCUCCUGGCUUAACUGGGAGAGGUCGUUCGAUACUGCAGAACUUGAGGUCGGGAGAGGGACGUGGAAUUCCCGGUGUAGUGGUGGAAUGCGUAGAUAUCGGGAGGAACUCCAGUGGCGAAGGCGGCGUCCUGGCCCGCACCUGACGCUAAGACGCGAAAGCGUGGGUAGCAAACGGGAUUAGAUACCCCCGUA